This 18-nucleotide ribosomal RNA is filed under the name Colletotrichum acutatum. RNAcentral's name for it is "partial 28S ribosomal RNA". The record is from RNAcentral. Lineage: Eukaryota; Fungi; Ascomycota; Sordariomycetes; Glomerellales; Glomerellaceae.
UUUUACAGGUUGACCUCG